This 492-nucleotide ribosomal RNA is filed under the name uncultured bacterium. RNAcentral describes it as "partial 16S ribosomal RNA". It matches the Rfam family "Bacterial small subunit ribosomal RNA", at positions 29 to 507 of the family's 1533-position model. The record is from RNAcentral.
AGUGAACGCUGGCGGUAGGCCUAACACAUGCAAGUCGAACGGCAGCACAGUAAGAGCUUGCUCUUACGGGUGGCGAGUGGCGGACGGGUGAGGAAUACAUCGGAAUCUACUUUUUCGUGGGGGAUAACGUAGGGAAACUUACGCUAAUACCGCAUACGACCUACGGGUGAAAGCAGGUGAUCUUCGGACCUUGCGCGAUUGAAUUAGCCGAUGUCGGAUUAGCUAUUUUGCGGGGUAAAGGCCCACCAAGGCGACUAUCCUUAGAUGGUCUGAGAGGAUGAUCAGCAACACUGGAAAUGAGAAACGGUCAAGACUCCUAUGGGAGGCAGGAGUGGGGAAUAUUGGACAAUGGGCGCAAGCCUGAUCCAGCCAUACCGCGUGGGUGAAGAAGGCCUUCGGGUUGUAAAGCCCUUUUGUUGGGAAAGAAAAGCAGAAGGUUAAUACCCCGCUGUUCUGACGGUACCCAAAGAAUAAGCACCGGCUAACUUCGUG